Molecule: ribosomal RNA, 585 nt
Filed under: uncultured bacterium
Lineage: Bacteria
Description: bacterial SSU rRNA
Rfam family: Bacterial small subunit ribosomal RNA
Source: RNAcentral
CCUACGGGAGGCAGCAGUGGGGAAUUUUGGACAAUGGGCGCAAGCCUGAUCCAGCAAUGCCGCGUGAGUGAAGAAGGCCUUCGGGUUGUAAAGCUCUUUUGUCAGGGAAGAAACGGUGGGAGCUAAUAUCUCCUACUAAUGACGGUACCUGAAGAAUAAGCACCGGCUAACUACGUGCCAGCAGCCGCGGUAAUACGUAGGGUGCAAGCGUUAAUCGGAAUUACUGGGCGUAAAGCGUGCGCAGGCGGUUUUGUAAGUCUGUCGUGAAAGCCCCGGGCUCAACCUGGGAAUUGCGAUGGAGACUGCAAGGCUUGAAUCUGGCAGAGGGGGGUAGAAUUCCGCGUGUAGCAGUGAAAUGCGUAGAGAUGUGGAGGAACACCGAUGGCGAAGGCAGCCCCCUGGGUCAAGAUUGACGCUCAUGCACGAAAGCGUGGGGAGCAAACAGGAUUAGAUACCCUGGUAGUCCACGCCCUAAACGAUGUCUACUAGUUGUCGGGUUUUAAUUAACUUGGUAACGCAGCUAACGCGUGAAGUAGACCGCCUGGGGAGUACGGUCGCAAGAUUAAAACUCAAAGGAAUUGACGG